RNAcentral lists this ribosomal RNA (532 nucleotides) under Alcyna ocellata. RNAcentral's name for it is "partial 16S ribosomal RNA". It matches the Rfam family "Bacterial large subunit ribosomal RNA", at positions 1819 to 2597 of the family's 2925-position model. The record is from RNAcentral. Lineage: Eukaryota; Metazoa; Mollusca; Gastropoda; Trochida; Trochidae.
GUCUCUUUGAUAUAAGUCUAUAAAGAGUCGGACCUGCCCAGUGACUAAAUUGUUAAACGGCCGCGGUACCCUAACUGUGCAAAGGUAGCAUAAUCAUUUGCUUUUUAAUUGAAGGCUAGUAUGAAUGGUCUGACGAAAGCUAAGCUGUCUCUUUAGAAAUAUUUAGAAAUUAAUUUUUAGGUGAAGAAGCCUAAAUGUAAUUGAGGGACAAGAAGACCCUGUUGAGCUUAAGCGUAGCGGUAAAUUUAUUUUAUGUGAAUUGGUAUGAUAGUCAUAACUAUUUUUUAUCGUGAAUUUUUAGUUGGGGCGACUGAGGAACAAUUAAAGCUUCCUUGAAAAAAUUAAAAAUACUACUUACAAGUUAAUUUGAUCCGGCAUGGCCGAUUAAGGGAAAAAGUUACCACAGGGAUAACAGCGUAAUCUUUCUGGAGAGAUCAAAUCGAAAGAAGGGUUUGCGACCUCGAUGUUGGACUAAGAUAACCUGAGGGUGCAGUAGUUCUCAAUGGUUGGUCUGUUCGACCAUUAAAAUCUU